AAAUAUUCAAUUUCCUUGCAAAAUUCUUAGAAAAAAAUCACGCAAGAAUUAUUUAAUAAAAAAAAUCUGGAUAACGAUCAAAAAGAAGGAGGUUCUCUCUUAAACUUGUUUACGAGAUUCACGCCCUUUCUUUGGAAUUCUGUCGGUUCAUGUGUUCGAAACGAGUGGGUCGCCAGUGUCCCGUUAUGAGCAGAACGAGCGAUAACUGUAUUGGCCGGAUAACACGGUGCCUUAUUACCGUCCUGCAUCAGCGAGUCAUUAUUUAAAGGACGAAUAAUCGAUUCCGGUAAACGAUAACGCUUGAACUGAUGCAUUUUUCGCGCGUAUAGACGUUAAAUCAUGAAAUGACAAGCCACGAAUUUCAAGGAAAAGAAUUCACCGUGCAUAAACACCCGUGCAGCGGGUGUUGAGCUCGGUCGGAAUCGGGUUUUCGUGUCAUAAGAACAACUGCAUAAUUCAAGGUUGCAAAGUGGCGAUAUAUCGCGCAACCGGUUGUUCCAAUUUUUAUACGUUUUCCAAUAUGCUUCCAAUAUUAAAGGCGAUUUUGAAGAUUCUUUAGAAGCAUUCGUGGGAAUUCAUAAUCUUUACAGAGUAAUGCUACAGUUUUUUUGGAAUUUUUCAAGCGUUCUUAUCGUAGACGCAACGGUAUUAGAAAGAAGAAGUAUUCACACGACAGCGAAUAUAAGGAAAACGGUUUCUUUUUUAUAAAAAAGCAUAUUCCAUAGCGAAUUACCAAGAACGUUGAUCGUGGAAAUGCUAGCACAUGAGAAUACAAUGUUUGCAUAUUACCAGACCAGAGUACAAUAACCUCGUAAAGCGUAUGUGAACGUUUGGUAAUAUCCCGAAGGAGUAACUGCAAUAAUUAUAAGUUAAGCGCCAACAUAAUGUCUGUUGAGGGUUACUGGAGGUGUGUAUACGAGCGCACUGGGGAGCUUUAUCAGAGGACACUUACGACGGGUACUGCACGUUAUUUGGACCUAUACAAUCGGCUGGAUCCGUGAGCGCAUCGCCCCAUACAUAUUUCAAGCCCAAACCAUUUCCCUCGCAUUUUUUGGCUCCGUGGGCGCAUGUUGUAAUAACGAGCAGAAUCAGACCGAGGUACCUGGACAUCUGAAAUUACAUCAAAAACUAUAAUAAUAACACACUUGAAUCCGGUAAAAUUGAAUUGCUUAUCGAUUCGAGGACAGGUUAACAUUUCAAUUCCAAAACUAGGUUGGCGAAUUACGAUAAUAAUAAUCGUGUGUUUCUACAAAACGAAAGCGUGGAAACGAAUAGAUAGUUUCACGUAUCAAGAGCCGUUUUAAAAGACACGUACAUUAAUGAAAAUUAAUUAAGCCGACGAGCAACAUCUCAUGAAUAAAACAAUCACAACUGGCACUGGACUCUGGAUUACCAGGACCCACUAUGCGAGUGAGAACAGACUUGGAACUCGACUUCGCACGAGGUCAAGAGCAAAAGUAAAUGACAUUGGCUUUGGAUCGUGAUGCAUCGUGGCCGAAAAAAUUCAUCCAAUCAUUCUUUAGCACGCUUUCAUUACCGAUGGUGUGAUCAAGAUUCGUACAUAUCUAUAUUUUUAUUUUAUUUAACAAUUGCCUUUAAGUCUAUCAUUAUUCUCUGUUUCCGUUCUUCGACAGAGAUUCCGUUUCACGGGUUGGUCUCGAGCUUUUUCGCUUUCGAGCCUCACGAACGAUGAAAAUCGUCUUGACGAGAGAACGUAUGCAUUCGAGAAUAAUAAUUAAUGAACGCGCGUAACCAAUAUGAAUUCAUGUAUGGAGUUUGAGGUUUGUAGGUUGCCAGGUUCACAUAACUUCCGCUAUGUAUUUCUCGUUGUCGAUCAAAUAUGAGUGAAAGCAACGCGAUAGCAUGCAGCUGUUCAAUUUCGAAUACUUUUAUUCCUAGAGAAACGUAAACGUUUGAUCUAGUUUUUUUAACUUGUUCAAUUAUUAUUUGACGAAUUGAAAUUGAAUAGAAUGGUCAACGUGGUAUAAAAUUGCGGUUUGAUGUUUGCCCAAGUGAUAAAUUGCGCGUGGGAAAGGAAAGGAAGAAAAUCAUUAUUGGAUAGCACCCAAGGCUGGUCAUUGGCCGUGACUGGUAUCGCGCAUCUAUUUCUUCAGGAUGUGCUGUCCAGCAUUCUUCCUGUACCACAAGAAACAACUGAAUUGUAUAUAGUUCAGCGAUAAUAUCGUAAAGGAUGCAUGUUAUCUUGAUAGAAUCACACGCAAAUAUGGAAAUAUUUUUUGAUUUUAGAAAUUUAAAUAUAUCUCGUUGUAAAUAUUUAAAAAUAUAUAUAUUAACAUAGAUUUGUCUUUUGUAGCUUUUUCUAAUUUUUUAUGGAUUAAAUGAUCGUAAUCUUUACGUGAUAUUGAUCACACGGUAAAGGCUAUCGAGUAACUAUCUUAGUCAAGCUUCGAUGAAUUACAUAACGGCGAUCUUGCGAAAAAGAAAAGACCGAGUUAAGAAAGACGUGAGAAUCACUUGAACUUGGAAAAUCGAGGUCUUCCAUAAGUUUCCAUUCAUCAUCGACAAAAACAAUUAUUUGUGCUGUAACUUUUCACUUUAUUAUUUAGAAAUUUUUCCCAGUAACCAUCGGAGAAGUACUGUUAAUAUAUUAAAACAGGAUUAAUUAACUAGCUAUCUCUGAUCGUGGAAACACUCGAAUCGAUCGAAUUGAAAUGAGAUUUAUCUAACUGGAAUUGUGAAAUUGCUUCGAGGAAGAUAAAAUAAUUAUAUACGUAAUAUUGAUAAAUGAAAUAAAAUUGAUGAAACAUAACGAAGAAAAAGAGUUUAGGAAAAAUUAUGCUUCCGGUAGUCAGGAGAAGAUUCCUCGUGGACCAUGAGCGUGUCAUGCGGUUGGUUCUAACGAUCAGAUAUUUAUUUAUUUAUAGAUGAGAAUUAAUGUUUAACUUAAAUGAACUAUUGGAGAAUCAUUAUGAUUCCGAUAAGCUUUCAAGUCAUUAAAAUUUGUACGUACCAUUUUGUGAUGUUACAUUCAACGAUUCAGUCAUGAAAAUGUUUUAAUUAAUGUCUGUUACAGUCUACAGGAUGUCACUCACCAUGAGG
This is a long non-coding RNA of Apis dorsata (giant honeybee), 3060 nucleotides long. RefSeq lists it as uncharacterized. The transcript is spliced from 3 exons. The record is from RefSeq and is a predicted model, not a curated record. NCBI's taxonomy places the organism in Eukaryota, Metazoa, Arthropoda, Insecta, Hymenoptera, Apidae.